This 836-nucleotide long non-coding RNA is filed under the name Arabidopsis thaliana (thale cress). RNAcentral's name for it is "long non-coding RNA (ATHA_LNC000161)". The record is from RNAcentral. Lineage: Eukaryota; Viridiplantae; Streptophyta; Magnoliopsida; Brassicales; Brassicaceae.
UAAUAGUCCAUAAAACAACCAAUAAAAUCAUAUUCUCACAUCUAAAUGUUCGUAACAAUACUAAACAAGUAAAAGGUAUCUUUUUCACUUUAUACCCUGCACUAAGGAGAGUGAUUGUCAAAUAGAUUCCACUGAAUCAGUUGCUCAGGUAUUCAAAAGUAGAAGCUUGUUAACAUAAGAUUUCUAACAUUGGUAACUAUAUCAACCAAUCUAAUACAAACAUAGGAGAAGCACAUGACAAAAACCACAGUUGAGAGAAUUACAUGAAGAGUAUGUAGACUGUUGUGAAAGUAUUAUCGAGAAACUCUUUGUGAUCGAUGAGAGAAGAAUCCAGUCUCUGUCUUCUUAUACGAACUAGAUCUGCAACGAUAAGAAGAAAAAAAACGUUGUUAGAUGAAUAUACAAGUCUUUGAUCUCUUAACUGUACUCAAAAUUAAUUUCACGAUAACUGAAAUUGGAACCCUAAUUCAAAGAAUCAGAAACACAAAUCUUCAAUUAAUUUGAAGUGAAAUCGAGUAAAUCGAAAUAAAAAACGAUCGAAAGAUUUUAAAAGAAAACCGAUUUUUGAGAAUUUGGAAGCCAGAGUUAAUUCGAUGAAGAGCAUUAUAUAAAUCUUUGUUUAAUUUUACCCAAAUCGAAGAGAGAACGAGAGAAAGAACUUAAAAGCGAUUUUGAAAUUUUGAAACUCUCGAUUACAGAAAUUACUGAAUGAAGAUAAUGAUUAAUCAUCGAUUUCAGAAAGCAAAAUUAUAUAUACGAAAACAGGAUUAACCCAGAUGAAACUGAAGAAUUCGAACGAAAAUUUACAGAGCAAAUUUCAAAAUCGCCGAUGAAAG